AAUGCACGCAGGUGCGAUGGGGGGACUCCGAGUGCAGUCUUCCAAAACGGAAGGCCGCUUUUCUGCACUUUAAGCAGGUGCCGAAACAAGGGGUGGGCAAGACGGCUGCCAGCCGCCGCGGUAAUAGCCGCACCCCGAGUGGUAGUCAUUGUUAUUGGGCUUAAAGUGUUCGUAGCCGGACAUACAAGUCUGCUGUGAAAUCCAUGCGCUUAACGUAUGGACAUGCAGCGGAUACUGUGUGUCUAGGAACCGGACGGCGUCGAGGCUAUUCCCGGGGUAGGGGUGAAAUCCUAAAAUCCUGGGAGGAGCACCUGUGGCGAAAGCGCUCGACGAGUACGGAUUCGACGGUGAGGAACGAAAGCCAGUGGAGCAAAGCGGAUUAGAUACCCGCGUAGUACUGGCUGUAAACAUUGUGCGUUUGAUGUCGGACAACCUCCGAGGUUGUCCGGUGCCGAAGUGAAAACGUUAAACGCACCGCCUGGGGAGUACGGUCGCAAGGCUGAAACUUAAAGGAAUUGGCGGGGGAGCACAGUCAU
RNAcentral lists this ribosomal RNA (536 nucleotides) under uncultured archaeon. RNAcentral's name for it is "bacterial SSU rRNA". It matches the Rfam family "Archaeal small subunit ribosomal RNA", at positions 354 to 885 of the family's 1478-position model. The record is from RNAcentral.